RNAcentral lists this transfer RNA (77 nucleotides) under Chloroflexota bacterium. RNAcentral describes it as "Chloroflexi bacterium tRNA-Arg". It matches the Rfam family "tRNA". Rfam says of the family: Transfer RNA (tRNA) molecules are approximately 80 nucleotides in length. Their secondary structure includes four short double-helical elements and three loops (D, anti-codon, and T loops). The record is from RNAcentral. Lineage: Bacteria; Bacillati; Chloroflexota.
GUCCCUGUAGCUCAGUUGGAUAGAGCGGCUGCCUUCUAAGCAGCGGGUCGCGGGUUCGAAUCCUGCCAGGGACGCCA